GUUUAAAUCAAUAAUUGCUUAGAAAUAAAAUUUGAUUAUGAAAAUUGUAUCUGUCCCUGUCAUUUUUCCAAAGCCGAAAGUCUCGUCGUAAGUAAACAUUACAUACAGAAUAUUAGCCCGAGAUAUUCAGCACACCACUCGAAACCCAACCAAUAUUGGAAAAGGUUACAUUUUUACCUAAGCAAUAUAUGAAAAGGUAUACAUUUUUAAGAUCUAAAUUAUAUGAUAUUAAGGGUGGGGUAACAUAAUCCCAGCGGCACCCCUAUCAGUUAAGUAUUGAAGUUGCCCCCGAGCUGCAUUCAGUACGGUAGCUGGGGUGUCUAAUUGUUCGACGAUAGAUUAUUCGUAAACUUCUGUAAAAGAUGUUGUCACAUACCGUAAUAUUGACAUAUCUUAACUGGAUACGAUCCGGACAUUAUUGUUAUGUAUUAUGAUACUCUCCUGUAUAGAAGGUUAAUAAAUAUCUUGUUAUUGUCAACAUGUCUUCCUCAUACUUAUCUAACAUGGUGUCAGACUAAACCAUCGACCAUCAUAAUGAAAAUAAGCCAUCCGUAGAUGAAAGUAAUUUUAAAGUUGCAUGAACAAUCCAGCUUCCUAAAUUUAUCAUAAUCAUGGAUGCACUAUCAGGAUAUCAUCCUAACAUGGACUGGGAAGCGACAGACCUAAUGACCGCUUGGAAAUCUUUCCGACAACAUACAUAAUUUUGGUUCGCGGGACCUCUAGAUGAAACUGCCGAAUCACAAGUAACUAUCUAAUGAUAUGGAUAGGCAACAAAGGUAGGAACAUAUAUUCAAACUGAGAUCUCUCGGAAGAUGACAAAAAGAAACUCGAAGUGUACUAUCAGAUCUUCGAAAAACACGUCCGCCCUAAAUCAAACAAGAUCUAUUCACGAUACAAAUUUUUAAGUCGUGUACAAAGAGACAACUGCAAAUGUUUGCACCUGUCCUAAGUCAGGAAUCUGAUGUACAGUAGUUGUCGUUUGUUUAUGUAAUUUAUACGUGUUUAUCGUUUCUGGUUUUUUAAUACAGAUUAGACCGUUGGUUUUCCCGUUUGAAUGGAUUUACACUUGUAAUUUUAGGGCCCUUUAUAGCUUGUUGUUCGGUGUGAGCCAAGGCUCCGUGUUGAAGGCCAUACCUUGACCUAUAAUGGUUAACUUUUAUAAAUUGUUAUUUGGAUGAAGAGUUGUCUCAUUUGCACUCAUACCACAUCUUCCUAUACCUAUUGACACUUUCGAAGAAUACCUCAUCGACCUUAACAUAUUGGUAAAAGAUUGUGGAUAUGCGACGCCGGAGGAAAUGGUCCGUGAUGAAAUUGUUUUUGGAACUAAAGACCACAAAGUGAUGAAUGAAGAAUGAAGGGUCCAAACUCUCGUUAGAAAAGACACAACUUAAAACUAUGGAAGGCGAAGAUAAAAAAAAUCAACAUCUUAAACAAACAAGGAUCAAGAUCACAUCAGGUAAAAAGUAUGGCAAGGAAUACAAACCACAAAGGGGACCACCUCAAAUUACAAGGGGCAAUCACCCAAUUUAGCAAACAAAUGUAAAAACUGUGGAGGUAAACAUGAGCGUAGAAAAUGUCCUGCAUUUGUGAAACAGUGCAACAAAUGCCAUAAAUAUAACCACUUGUUGUCCGUAUGUCUGUCAUCAAGCAAAUCAUCAAAGAAAAUGCACACUUAAGACAUAUGCAGUGAAUCUGAUAAUGAUGUAUUUUUUGUUGCUACAAUUGAUGAUCAAGAAUUGAAUACCGAUGAAUGGACCGAAACAAUCACCGUCAACGAGCGUACUAGUUAACUUUC
This 1795-nucleotide long non-coding RNA is filed under the name Mytilus galloprovincialis (Mediterranean mussel). The record is from RNAcentral. Lineage: Eukaryota; Metazoa; Mollusca; Bivalvia; Mytilida; Mytilidae.